This 433-nucleotide ribosomal RNA is filed under the name uncultured bacterium. RNAcentral describes it as "bacterial SSU rRNA". It matches the Rfam family "Bacterial small subunit ribosomal RNA", at positions 8 to 435 of the family's 1533-position model. The record is from RNAcentral.
AGAGUUUGAUUCUGGCUCAGAACGAACGCUGGCGGCGUGCUUAACACAUGCAAGUCAGGGAGAAAGUCUCUUCGGGGAUGAUUAAACCGGCGCACGGGUGAGUAACACGUGAGUGACCUGCCUUUUAGACUGGAACAACUUACCGAAAGGUGAGCUAAUGCCGGAUGAGUUAUAUAAGUGCAUGUUUAUAUAGGAAAAGUUGGGGAGACCUGACGCUGAAAGAUGGACUCGCGUCCCAUUAGCUAGUUGGUAGGGUAAUGGCCUACCAAGGCGACGAUGGGUAGCCGGCCUGAGAGGGUGGCCGGCCACACUGGGACUGAGACACGGCCCAGACUCCUACGGGAGGCAGCAGUGGGGAAUUUUGCGCAAUGCUCGUAAGAGUGACGCAGCGACGCCGCGUGAAUGACGAAGGCCUUCGGGUCGUAAAGUUCUU